This 774-nucleotide ribosomal RNA is filed under the name uncultured Neocallimastigales. RNAcentral's name for it is "partial large subunit ribosomal RNA". It matches the Rfam family "Eukaryotic large subunit ribosomal RNA", at positions 24 to 620 of the family's 3401-position model. The record is from RNAcentral. Lineage: Eukaryota; Fungi; Neocallimastigomycota; Neocallimastigomycetes; Neocallimastigales.
UUGUGAUCGUCUCUCGCAUAUCAAUAAGCGGAGGAAAAGAAACUAACAAGGAUUCCCUUAGUAACGGCGAAUGAAGCGGGAAGAGCUCAAAUUUGAAAUCUUCAAGGUUUUACCUUGACGAAUUGUAGUUUAAAGAAGUGUUUUCUGUUGAAGUUUUGGUAAAAGUUCUUUGGAAUAGGACAUCAUAGAGGGUGAGAAUCCCGUAUUUGACCAUUAUUUUCAGCUGUGUGAUACACUUUCAAAGAGUCGGAUUGUUUGGGAAUGCAGUCCAAAAUGGGUGGUAAAUUUCAUCUAAAGCUAAAUAUUGGCGAGAGACCGAUAGCGAACAAGUACCGUGAGGGAAAGAUGAAAAGAACUUUGAAAAGAGAGUUAAACAGUACGCUGAAAUUGUCAAAAGGGAAGCGUUUGACACCAGUGUUGUUUUCUCGAAAAUCAAUUAAAAAGAGUUAGAUUUUGUUGUGUAUUGACCUUAACAGCUUGCAUUUCAAUUUUCUUGCUUUUUUUAAUGCACUUUUCGUUUAACAAGUCAACAUCAGUUUCUUUUGUUGUAAAAAGGUCAUUGGAAGGUGGCUUUCUUUUCGGAGAAAGUGUUUAUAGCCUUUGACUCCUGCAAUCGGAGAGACUGAGGUCUGCAGCGUAGAUCCUUCGGGGUUAGAUACAUUUGUGCUAAGUUAUAGCUUUUUAUAGACAACUUGUUGACUAUGAUUAGUCUUGUAGCUUACUCGCUUAUGCUAUUUUACCUACGCUUAGGAUGUUGAAGAUGUAGCACAUCAU